AAGGAGCACUUCUCCAUGGUCUCUUCGAAGAGUCGAAGAGGGUUGUGGCAGAGGCCAUUUCGAGAGCGAAUGUUUCUCGGUGGUUGCUCAUGGGUGGAACGCUGACAUGCGCCCCGGUGUGGCCGGCAGCCUGUGUGCUGUGGGUUCGGGGAUGUAGUCGACACACUGUUGGGUCCUGAAAGAACAGGCGUUCUUUCCAGGCAAGAUAACGACGAGGCUGAAUCUUCAGUUCAUACCGGCUUCGACUCUUUCGGGGGUUGGGGUGCUGGUGCUGGUCAGGGUUUGGUUUUGUGUGUUGUUUGAGAACUGCACAGUGGACGCGAGCAUCUUUGUUU
Molecule: unclassified non-coding RNA, 335 nt
Filed under: Nocardia sp. DSM 43396
Lineage: Bacteria; Bacillati; Actinomycetota; Actinomycetes; Mycobacteriales; Nocardiaceae
Description: 16S-23S ribosomal RNA intergenic spacer region
Source: RNAcentral